GGGGGCGAGUAGGCUCGACGUGGCGAGCGGCAGCGAUGGAUAAGCGAGCCGAGGUUCCACCAGCUCGUAAAAACGGUGGGCGAAACACAAACGCCAACAACGAACCUGUUCUCGCGGCUGCUUAAUUAACCGCCGCACGUCUCGGCCGCUGAGCCUGCAGAGCGGCUGAAGGCGUCACACGAUGCAGGCUCGCUUCCGUUCCUGGCCCGGGGGACGGGAGGACACCCGACGGGCUGGCCCGGCACGCAUCCUGCCUAUGGGAGGCCGCCAGGGCGAGAUUAAUACAUAGGCUACGCUCGUAGAAACCGUCGUUGGCUGCCGUUGCGGACCCGGCGUGCGACUCGCCGGCGCCUCCACCA
This 359-nucleotide transfer-messenger RNA is filed under the name Bacillota bacterium. Its description in RNAcentral is "Firmicutes bacterium transfer-messenger RNA". It matches the Rfam family "transfer-messenger RNA". From Rfam's summary of the family: Bacterial tmRNA, also known as 10Sa RNA or SsrA, is named for its dual tRNA and mRNA-like properties. RNAcentral also lists the same sequence under 1 other name. The record is from RNAcentral. Lineage: Bacteria; Bacillati; Bacillota.